UUAGGGAUGGUUUAAUAGGGAAAACACUUGCUUUGCAAGUAUGAGAACCUGACCUUGAUCCCUAAA
This 66-nucleotide transfer RNA is filed under the name Cricetulus griseus (Chinese hamster). It matches the Rfam family "tRNA". Rfam says of the family: Transfer RNA (tRNA) molecules are approximately 80 nucleotides in length. The record is from Rfam by way of RNAcentral. Lineage: Eukaryota; Metazoa; Chordata; Mammalia; Rodentia; Cricetidae.